Molecule: ribosomal RNA, 468 nt
Filed under: uncultured bacterium
Lineage: Bacteria
Description: partial 16S ribosomal RNA
Rfam family: Bacterial small subunit ribosomal RNA
Source: RNAcentral
GACGAACGCUGGCGGCGUGCUUAACACAUGCAAGUCGAACGGAAAGGCCCUGCUUUUGUGUGGUUCUCGAGUGGCGAACGGGUGAGUAACCCGUGAGUCACCUUCCCUUUACUUUGUGAUAACUUCAGGAAACUGGUGCUACUACCUGCUAGCAGCUCCUGCUGCAUGGUGGGCUUUGGACCUUUUAGGCGGUUGGGGAUGGACUGGCGGCUUACGAGCUUGUUGGUGGGGUAGUGGCUUACCCAGGGAUUGACGGGUAGCCUGCCUGGGAGGGUGAACGGGGACAAGGGGACUGAGGUAGGGCGCAGACGGGAACGGGGGGCAGUGGGGGGGAAUAUGGUACAACGGGCGGGAGUGUGAUGCAGAGACGCCGGGAGCGGGAUGAAGGCCUUCGGGGGGUAAACCGCAGUAACCUGAGACGAAGCGGGAGUGACGGUAAUAGGUGAAGAAGCACCGGCUAACUACGUG